GCCCAGCGCAUAACCUCCCGGGCUACCAAGCCUGCGGCGGAAUGUUGCGUUAAGGGAAAGGUCGUUAUAAAGCCCUGCACUACAUGGCCUAAGCUUUGGCUUGAAUUUCCACUGUUAUCCUAACGGGUGCAACGGCUCCACAGAGGGUGUUAGACCCGUGUGGCCAUGUGGUUAAAUGUGCAUGGGUUCGGCUUUAUUCCCUGAGAGUCGCGUUGCUUGGACAUGCAGCGCUAAGCAGGUCGUAAACUCGACCUAAGGCUAAAUAUUUUCACAGAACCGAUAGUAAACAAGUACCGUGAGGGAAAGUUGAAAAGUACUCUGAAGAGAGAGUCAAAAGACCGUGAAACCGCUUAGAGUAUAAGCCAAUGGUAAACUGGAAGGCUGGAAAUAACGGACGGGACAUUCCUGAUUGAGGGAGGUGUACUGGAAGUUAACGUUUGUUCAAAGGUCAUGAAGGCAUGGAGGGGAUUCUACGGAUGGAAAAGUGGCAUUGGGUUGAUAACACGCCGACAAUACCUUGCGGGUAACUGACAGUGGUAACAGGGAACGUUCUAAUGAGGAACCGAACCGAGGCUGUACUUUUGCAAGUUCCAGCUUUGAGGCCCAAUAACGAGUUUUUUAACACAGCUGCACCGCGAUCCUUUAUAAGGUCACCCUCGCGAGGUGAAGAAGAGAGUGUGGAGUGUCAAGCCCACUCUCUUUUCUCAUAUGAGCCGUGCGUGUCUAUGCCUGUGGUUUUAUGUGUGUGAGCAUUUAUUUGCUGCAUGCUCCUUCGCUCAUGCUCCUCCUCAUGUGUGAGUGUGUUGUGUUUGACCCGGGGUCGGCCGGCUUCUUUACCGAUCCAGACGCGAGUGGUAUGAUCCUAAGUGAAGAUUGUUUUCUGAAAGGCCUUAUCCCCGAAGAGUGGUUCAAACAGAGCGCUCGACCAUCUCAUGUGGAUGCAGACCUUAGUACCUAAACUCUCGUGAAGUCUUUACCUUGUGCGUUGGUGGGUGAAUUAAUAUAGGGGCGAAGAUUUCCACGGGUCUCCUGGAUACGCCUCAGCCCCAUUUCAACCGCUUGUGAGAAUGGGAGAACCGGGAAGUCUCGGGUGCAUGGGGGGCGGCUAUUUGGUGUACUAUUCCAGAGCCAUUGGUCACGUCUCGAAACACGGGCCAAGGAGCAUAGCAUGUGCGCAAGUCUAAGGGAUAAGAAAUCCUGGAGGCAAAGUGAAAGCAAAUGGUGUGUUUGUGUCGAGCUUUCGCGGUUCGAUGCAUUCAGCUUGCAAUGAGCGUAAUUCUCGAGAGAUUUAUUUUUCGGAUGACUGCGUCAUGCGGCUUAAACCGAGUUGAUCCGUCGCAAUAAAGCCUUCAUGGCGAUGCGARGGCGCAAACUCCAGGCUCUCUGUAUAAGGGUAUUCGUAUUCUUGAGAGCACUGUGUAGCGUGCAUGCUAUAACCCGAAAGAUAGUGAACUAUGCCUGGCGAGGG
Molecule: ribosomal RNA, 1468 nt
Filed under: Epimeria aff. similis SI2
Lineage: Eukaryota; Metazoa; Arthropoda; Malacostraca; Amphipoda; Epimeriidae
Description: partial 28S ribosomal RNA
Rfam family: Eukaryotic large subunit ribosomal RNA
Source: RNAcentral